GGCGCUAUGGCAGAAUGGUAAAUGCACCAGUCUAGAAAACUGGAGUCCUUUGGACGUGUUAGGUUCAAUUCCUACUGGCGCCG
This 83-nucleotide transfer RNA is filed under the name Tupanvirus deep ocean. RNAcentral's name for it is "tRNA-Ser". It matches the Rfam family "tRNA". From Rfam's summary of the family: Transfer RNA (tRNA) molecules are approximately 80 nucleotides in length. Their secondary structure includes four short double-helical elements and three loops (D, anti-codon, and T loops). Further hydrogen bonds mediate the characteristic L-shaped molecular structure. tRNAs have two regions of fundamental functional importance: the anti-codon, which is responsible for specific mRNA codon recognition, and the 3' end, to which the tRNAs corresponding amino acid is attached (by aminoacyl-tRNA synthetases). tRNAs cope with the degeneracy of the genetic code in two manners: having more than one tRNA (with a specific anti-codon) for a particular amino acid; and 'wobble' base-pairing, i.e. permitting non-standard base-pairing at the 3rd anti-codon position. RNAcentral also lists the same sequence under 1 other name. The record is from RNAcentral. Lineage: Varidnaviria; Bamfordvirae; Nucleocytoviricota; Megaviricetes; Imitervirales; Mimiviridae.